Molecule: ribosomal RNA, 448 nt
Filed under: uncultured eukaryote
Lineage: Eukaryota
Description: SSU rRNA
Rfam family: Eukaryotic small subunit ribosomal RNA
Source: RNAcentral
UAAAGUUGUUGAGGUUAAAAAGCUGCGUAGUUCUUACCUUGGGCCUGGCUGCCCGGUCCGCCUCACCGCGUGCACUGGUCCGGCCGGGCCUUUCCCUCUGUGGAACCCCAUGCCCUUCACUGGGUGUGGCGGGGAAACAGGACUUUUACUUUGAAAAAAUUAGAGUGCUCCAGGCAGGCCUAUGCUCGAAUACAUUAGCAUGGAAUAAUGAAAUAGGACGUGCGGUUCUAUUUUGUUGGUUUCUAGGACCGCCGUAAUGAUUAAUAGGGACAGUCGGGGGCAUCAGUAUUCAAUUGUCAGAGGUGAAAUUCUUGGAUUUAUUGAAGACUAACUACUGCGAAAGCAUUUGCCAAGGAUGUUUUCAUUAAUCAGGAACGAAAGUUAGGGGAUCGAAGACGAUCAGAUACCGUCGUAGUCUUAACCAUAAACUAUGCCGACUAGGGAUCGG